This is a long non-coding RNA of Taeniopygia guttata (zebra finch), 1003 nucleotides long. RefSeq lists it as uncharacterized. NCBI's taxonomy places the organism in Eukaryota, Metazoa, Chordata, Aves, Passeriformes, Estrildidae. The record is from RefSeq and is a predicted model, not a curated record.
CACCGCGCGAACUCCGCCGCGCCUACAGCUCCCGGCGUGCACCGCGCCAGCCCCGCCGCGCCUACAGCUCCCGGCGCGCACCGCGCCAGCCCCGCCGGUGAGGGCCGUUUCCCUCUGGCGGAGCGGAGGCUCAGCCGGUCCCCGCGGGCCCGGGGUCGCUGCCCCUCCCAGGGACCCGCCUGUCCGUGCUGGGACCGCCUGAGCGGGCUGGGCUGUUAAACUCCGCCAGCCGAAGCUGGCAGUGCCACCCUGCCGGUACGGGCACGGGUGUUUGCCUUUUUUCCGGUGUUCUGAGCAGCCUCCGCUCUCCCGUGCUCUGGGCUCCAGCCGCCUGCCGGUCCCCCUCACCCGGAGCAGCAAACCUGGGCAGGGUUUUGGGGCAGAGGUUGUCCCACGGUCGCUCACACCUGCGGUCAGGAAAGAGAGUCCUGGAGUCCUUUCCCAAGGGAAGCAAAGCGAGAUUCCUCUCUGAGACACCAGGACAAAGCCACUCGAGAGCCACCUGCCUUCUCCAAGCCAGGUUUCACUUGGGAAAACUCCCCUGGCCUCCUUUUUCUGCCUCCUGUGCGUGUCCCUCUGGCUGCCAUCUCCUCCUCCAGUGCCCUCUGGUGAAAGUGUCCCCCUUUGGAUGUUCAGGAGAUCAGGACAGGGAUGUUCAGCACCCAGGACUGGAAAACAAGCUUGGAACGGUGAACUCCAGAUAAAUACAAAAAUGGACCCGCUGCUUUGCUCCCUGAAUCGUCUCCAAUGAACAAAGAGGAGGCAGGGAUGAUGGAAGCAGGACCAGGAAUGCCAGUGGCCUCACUAUCCAGUUUCACUGAGUCCUCCUGUGGUGUCACCAUCAACGUUUCAGGAAAAGCUUUGGAGUCCCACGUGCCAAACAAAACACUGGGCAGGAAGGCACAAAUUGCAGCCAUGCUUGUGCAGUUGGAGCCUCCCCUCACUGAUUUACGGCUUUUGAUGAAGUGAUUACAGAUGAAAGAAAAUAUUCCAGGGAACAGGA